AAAUCCUGACCUGAGCUGAAAUCAAGAGUUAAAUCCUUAACCAACUGAGCCACCCAGGUCACCAUUGACCCUUGCCCAUGGAGCCUCCCCUCCAUUCUGAACACUUUGAAUUCUGCCUUCACACCUUCGCAAGGGCUCAGUAACUUCGAGAGAGAGAAUGAGAGAUAGAAAGCACGAGAGGGAAGAGGGUCAGAGGGAGAAGCAGAC
Zalophus californianus (California sea lion) is the source of this 207-nucleotide long non-coding RNA. RefSeq lists it as uncharacterized. The record is from RefSeq and is a predicted model, not a curated record. The transcript has 3 exons. Lineage: Eukaryota; Metazoa; Chordata; Mammalia; Carnivora; Otariidae.